RNAcentral lists this long non-coding RNA (375 nucleotides) under Mytilus galloprovincialis (Mediterranean mussel). The record is from RNAcentral. Lineage: Eukaryota; Metazoa; Mollusca; Bivalvia; Mytilida; Mytilidae.
CGGGCCGAAUCCUUAUAUCGUUGAUAUGUCAAGUCAAUGCACUAUUAUUGUCUUUAUACUGCAAUCUAAAAAAACAUUUUCAAUUGUUGUUUAAUGCGUUAAGGUUAUUUAUUUGAUUUAAAUAUUGGGGGAAAUACCCUUUAAAAAGGCCUCAGAUCAUGCUCGCGGAGAAAUAUACAACACAAUGAAAUUUACAUUUACCUGUUGAAACCAACACUCAAUGGUGAACGAAAUCGUUUGAGUAUGGACUUAAAUAUCAACCAUAAGCAUAAAACAUAAUGAUUUAUAGGUUGCAAACAAAAAAUAUUAACAAAUUAAAUAUGUUUUUCCAAUAAUUGCAAAAGAAACAAUGUUGAGUCGUUCCACGCAUCGUUG